This 102-nucleotide small nuclear RNA is filed under the name Canis lupus familiaris (dog). RNAcentral also lists the same sequence under 1 other name. The record is from RNAcentral. Lineage: Eukaryota; Metazoa; Chordata; Mammalia; Carnivora; Canidae.
UCACCUCAUUUCGAUAGUGUGUAUAGUAAAAUUGGAAAGAUACCAAGAAGAUGGUCCCUGUCCAAAGAUGACACCCAAAAUGGCGAAGCAUUCCAUAUUUUU